AUGCAAUGCUAUACUGACUGCGGGCCCUUCCAGUACUCACUUAAGUUGAAGCGGCGGGGGGAAAUUAAGGGCUUGAGCAGGGGAACCAAAUUAGGGAUCGUUGGUAGGCUGGAGACGGGCGGCGGCGGCGGCGGCGGCGGUUACUCAAGCAGGAGGUGGGCUUCGGCAGUAAUCGACGACGUCUUCCUCCUCCCGCGCGUCGUACUCAGGCGGAGGUCGUGGGCGCAUGGCUCCAUCAAGGUCGUCCGCGCCGUACUGCGAGGACGCCAUGGCGUACGAGCCGGCAGUGGAAUGCCACUGUAA
Molecule: ribosomal RNA, 303 nt
Filed under: Triticum aestivum (bread wheat)
Lineage: Eukaryota; Viridiplantae; Streptophyta; Magnoliopsida; Poales; Poaceae
Description: partial small subunit ribosomal RNA
Source: RNAcentral